This 885-nucleotide ribosomal RNA is filed under the name uncultured bacterium. Its description in RNAcentral is "bacterial SSU rRNA". It matches the Rfam family "Bacterial small subunit ribosomal RNA", at positions 8 to 916 of the family's 1533-position model. The record is from RNAcentral.
AGAGUUUGAUCAUGGCUCAGGAUAAACGCNGGCGGUGUNCAUUAUGCAUGCAAGUCGAACGAAUCAUUUCGGUGAUUAGUGGCAGACGGGUGAGUAACACGUAAGUAACCUGCCCUUAAGUGGGGAAUAACUCUGAGAAAUCGGAGCUAAUACUGCAUGUGGUGAUGGAGGUAAUGCUCUAUUACUAAAGCCUUAGGGCGCUAAAGGAGGGGCUUGCGUCCGAUUAGCUUGUUGGUGAGGUAACGGCCCACCAAGGCUUCGAUCGGUAGCUGGUUUGAGAGGAUGAUCAGCCACACUGGGACUGAGAUACGGCCCAGACUCCUACGGGAGGCAGCAGCAAGGAAUAUUGGGCAAUGGGCGAAAGCCUGACCCAGCGACACCGCGUGGAGGAAGAAGGCCUUCGGGUUGUAAACUCCUUUUCCCGGGGAAGAAUAAAAUGACGGUACCCGGGGAAUAAGUCUCGGCUAACUACGUGCCAGCAGCCGCGGUAAUACGUAGGAGGCGAGCGUUAUCCGGAUUUACUGGGCGUAAAGAGGGCGUAGGCGGCUUGUCAAGUCGGAUGUGAAAUCUCCCGGCUAAACUGGGAGGGUGCAUUCGGUACUGAUAGGCUAGAGUGCAGCAGAGGAAAGCGGAAUUCCCGGUGUAGUGGUGAAAUGCGUAGAUAUCGGGAAGAACACUAGAGGCGAAGGCGGCUUUCUGGGCUGUUACUGACGCUGAGGCCCGAAGGCGUGGGGAGCAAACAGGAUUAGAUACCCUGGUAGUCCACGCAGUAAACGAUGGAUACUAGGUAUGGGGGGUAUCGACCCCCUCCGUGCCGAAGCUAACGCUUUAAGUAUCCCGCCUGGGGAGUACGGUCGCAAGACUAAAACUCAAAUGAAUUGACGG